Dermacentor silvarum is the source of this 438-nucleotide long non-coding RNA. RefSeq lists it as uncharacterized. The transcript is spliced from 3 exons. The record is from RefSeq and is a predicted model, not a curated record. Lineage: Eukaryota; Metazoa; Arthropoda; Arachnida; Ixodida; Ixodidae.
UGAUUUGCAAGGUUUCGUCUACUGCGCAUCGUCUGCGUAGCAGUCAUUUCCAGGUAUACCUUGGUUUUCCUUUGAUUCUCAUUAGUUCGGUUACCCACGGGACCAGUGACCUCGUUAUCUCAAACCAAGGACCGGCGACUACUGUGAGACACAAUGGCGCCAAACAAUAUCCCCGAAGACCUGGGAAAAAUAUUCAGCGUGAUAGACGAGAGCAAGGAUGCCAUGCUACAAUCGCUCAAGGAACUCGUGGCCAUUCCCAGCGUGUCUGCAGAAAGUGCUCGCCGUGGUGAUAUUGUGAAAGCCUUGCACAUGGUCAAAGAGGCAAGCGUUUAAUGCAUGACCCAGAGAAAAACAGUUCCAUGGCCACUUAACGUGUAGCAGGAUUCGUGUACAUUUAAUGUAUUGGCGAUAGCAUAUAGAGGAACACUAUUGGUAGUU